CACAAAUUACCAAGUUUCAUAUAAGGGAUUAUUGGUUUAUAUUGGUGGAACUGAAAUCCAGCAACAAAAAUGAAGAGAACUUAAGCGUUUGCUUUAAAUUAUUAGAAAACAUCAGUGUCUCAACAUCCAAAGUAGGAAGCAAACUGGCAGUCUGCAGUGCCUUUAAUUGAAGUUGGUCAUUGGGUCACUGUAUAGGACGCUGC
Molecule: long non-coding RNA, 203 nt
Filed under: Mytilus galloprovincialis (Mediterranean mussel)
Lineage: Eukaryota; Metazoa; Mollusca; Bivalvia; Mytilida; Mytilidae
Source: RNAcentral